This 301-nucleotide ribosomal RNA is filed under the name uncultured bacterium. Its description in RNAcentral is "partial 16S ribosomal RNA". It matches the Rfam family "Bacterial small subunit ribosomal RNA", at positions 509 to 809 of the family's 1533-position model. The record is from RNAcentral.
CAGCCGCCACGGUAAUACGUAGGUGGCAAGCGUUGUCCGGAAUUAUUGGGCGUAAAGGGCUCGCAGGCGGUUUCUUAAGUCUGAUGUGAAAGCCCCCGGCUCAACCGGGGAGGGUCAUUGGAAACUGGGAAACUUGAGUGCAGAAGAGGAGAGUGGAAUUCCACGUGUAGCGGUGAAAUGCGUAGAGAUGUGGAGGAACACCAGUGGCGAAGGCGACUCUCUGGUCUGUAACUGACGCUGAGGAGCGAAAGCGUGGGGAGCGAACAGGAUUAGAUACCCCUGUAGUCCCUGUCUCUUAUAA